This 440-nucleotide ribosomal RNA is filed under the name uncultured bacterium. RNAcentral describes it as "partial 16S ribosomal RNA". It matches the Rfam family "Bacterial small subunit ribosomal RNA", at positions 338 to 795 of the family's 1533-position model. The record is from RNAcentral.
CCUACGGGUGGCAGCAGUAGGGAAUAUUGCUCAAUGGGGGAAACCCUGAACCAGCAAAGCCGCGUGGAGGAUGAAGGUUUUCUGAUUGUUAACUCCUUUUGUUAGAGGAGUUAAUGACGGUAUCUAACGAAUAAGCAACGUCUAACUCCGUGCCAGCAGCCGCGGUAAUACGGAGGGUGCAAGCGUUACUCGGAAUCAGUGGGCGUAAAGAGCGCGUAGGGGGGAUAGCAAGUCAGAUGUGAAAUUCUAUGGCUUAACCAUAGAACUGCCUUUGAAACUGUUAUUCUAGAGUAUGGGAGAGGUAGGUGGAAUGCUUGGUGUAGGGGUAAAAUCCGUAGAGAUCAAGAGGAAUACUCAUUGCGAAGGCGACCUACUAGAACAUAACUGACGCUGAUGCGCGAAAGCGUGGGGAGCAAACAGGAUUAGAUACCCGAGUAGUC